CGGGGCGUAGCGUAGUUUGGUUUAGCGCGUCUGCUUUGGGAGCAGAAGGUCGGUGGUUCAAAUCCACUCGCCCCGACCA
Molecule: transfer RNA, 79 nt
Filed under: Candidatus Omnitrophota bacterium
Lineage: Bacteria; Pseudomonadati; Candidatus Omnitrophota
Description: Candidatus Omnitrophica bacterium tRNA-Pro
Rfam family: tRNA
About the family: Transfer RNA (tRNA) molecules are approximately 80 nucleotides in length. Their secondary structure includes four short double-helical elements and three loops (D, anti-codon, and T loops).
Source: RNAcentral